This 492-nucleotide ribosomal RNA is filed under the name uncultured bacterium. RNAcentral describes it as "partial 16S ribosomal RNA". It matches the Rfam family "Bacterial small subunit ribosomal RNA", at positions 29 to 507 of the family's 1533-position model. The record is from RNAcentral.
AGUGAACGCUGGCGGUAGGCCUAACACAUGCAAGUCGAACGGCAGCACAGUAAGAGCUUGCUCUUACGGGUGGCGAGUGGCGGACGGGUGAGGAAUACAUCGGAAUCUACUUUUUCGUGGGGGAUAACGUGGGGAAACUUACGCUAAUACCGCAUACGACCUACGGGUGAAAGCAGGGGAUCUUCGGACCUUGCGCGAUUGAAUGAGUCGAUGUCGGAUUAGCUAGUUGGCGGGGUAAAGGCCCACCAAGGCGACGAUCCGUAGCUGGUCUGAGAGGAUGAUCAGCCACACUGGAACUGAGACACGGUCCAGACUCCUACGGGAGGCAGCAGUGGGGAAUAUUGGACAAUGGGCGCAAGCCUGAUCCAGCCAUACCGCGUGGGUGAAGAAGGCCUUCGGGUUGUAAAGCCCUUUUGUUGGGAAAGAAAAGCAGCAGGUUAAUACCCCGCUGUUCUGACGGUACCCAAAGAAUAAGCACCGGCUAACUUCGUG